UUUCAAAUGUCUACUGAUGGAAGUUGGUUCCAUCAGUGGGUAUUUGAAGUU
This 51-nucleotide microRNA precursor is filed under the name Nematostella vectensis (starlet sea anemone). RNAcentral's name for it is "Nve-Mir-2026_pre stem-loop". Lineage: Eukaryota; Metazoa; Cnidaria; Anthozoa; Actiniaria; Edwardsiidae. The record is from RNAcentral.